CCCCUUGAUCGCGCGGGCGGCUUCCCCCAUAUAGGCUGGUGCCGGGUCCGCCCGGCUAUGGUGAUAAAUUGUGCCGUGAAAUAGACGCAGCGGACCCGGGGGCAGUACCCGGCGGUUCCACCACUGGCCCCGGCCGCUCAAAGGGCGGACGGGAUCAUUGACGGGGCCGAACUAGGAUCGACGUGUGUUGAAAGACGGUAUUUUCUCCCGGCCUGAGUAAGCCGUAAAACUGUUUAAAACUCAUAAGUGCCAACGAUAACGAGGCUCUUGCUCUUGCUGCGUAAUUGAUGGCCUCACGGCCUGACAUUACCCAAAUAGAACGCGGUUGGACCCACCGGGCAACAGAAGGGAUUCCA
This 356-nucleotide transfer-messenger RNA is filed under the name Sphingobium fontiphilum. RNAcentral describes it as "Sphingobium sp. Chen 16-4 Alphaproteobacteria transfer-messenger RNA". It matches the Rfam family "Alphaproteobacteria transfer-messenger RNA". From Rfam's summary of the family: Bacterial tmRNA, also known as 10Sa RNA or SsrA, is named for its dual tRNA and mRNA-like properties. Its role is to liberate the mRNA from a stalled ribosome. To accomplish this part of the tmRNA is used as a reading frame that ends in a translation stop signal. The record is from Rfam by way of RNAcentral. Lineage: Bacteria; Pseudomonadati; Pseudomonadota; Alphaproteobacteria; Sphingomonadales; Sphingobiaceae.